CACAUCUAAGGAAGGCAGCAGGCGCGCAAAUUACCCAAUCCUGACUCAGGGAGGUAGUGACAAGAAAUAACAAUAAACCGGCUUAUGCCGGUUUAAUUGGAAUGAGUACAAUUUAAACAUCUUAACGAGGAACAAUUGGAGGGCAAGUCUGGUGCCAGCAGCCGCGGUAAUUCCAGCUCCAAUAGCGUAUACUAAAGUUGUUGCAGUUAAAAAGCUCGUAGUUGGAUUUCUGUGGGGACGGAGCGGCCGGCCGCAACACGCGGUUCGAGCUAGCGCUUUCCCUACAUCCUGCCGCGAACCGUGCUACCAUUAGUUUGGUGGCGCCGGGGAUCGGCUCGAUUACUUUGAGAAAAAUAGAGUGUUCAAAGCAGGCCACACGCCUUGAAUAAGUUAGCAUGGAAUAAUAACUAAGGACUUCGGUUCUAUUUUGUUGGUGUUCGGGACUGAAGUAAUGAUUGAUAGGGACAGUUGGGGCGGUCUGUAUUCCAAAGCGAGAGGUGAAAUUCUUAGACCUUCUGAAGACAAACAGCUGCGAAAGCGUUCCGCAAGGAUGUUCCCUUUGAUCAAGAACGAAAGUUGGGGGAUCGAAGACGAUCAGAUACCGUCGUAGUCUCAACUAUAAACUAUACCAGCUAGGGAUCGGCCAACGUUAUUCUAUACCGACUUGGUCGGCACCUUAUGAGAAAAUCAAAAGCAUCUGGGUUCCGGGGGGAGUAUGGCCGCAAGGCUGAAACUUAAAGGAAUUUGACGGAAGGGCACCACCAGCCGUGGAGCCUGUGGCUUAAUUUGACUCAACACGGGAAAACUUACCAGGUCCAGACAUAGUAAGGAUUGACAGAUUGAUAGCUCUUUCUUGAUUCUGUGGGUGGUGGUGCAUGGCCGUUCUUAGUUGUGGGAGUGAAUUUGUCUGGUUAAUUCCGUUAACGAACGAGACCCCAGCCUGCUAAAUAGCGCGUGUGAGCUUUGCUCGCAGCGAGCUUCUUAGAGGGACUAUGAUGCGCGAUAGCACAUGGAAGUUUGGGGCAAUAACAGGUCUGUGAUGCCCUUAGAUGUUCUGGGCCGCACACGGGCUACACUGGCGCCUGCAACGAGCAUAUCAGCUGGCCCGAGAGGGUCUUGGCUAAUCUUUUGAACCGGCGCCGUGCUUGGGAUUGACCUUUGCAAUUGUUGGUCAUGCAACGAGGAAUGCCUUGUAAACGCGAGUCAUCAGCUCGCAUUGAAUACGUCCCUGCCCUUUGUACACACCGCCCGUCGCUCCUACCGAUGAAUGUUCCGAUGAAAUUUUCGGAGAGUGCCUGUGAACUUGGCUCUGCCUUGCGAACGGGAAGCUCAAAGUCGCUUAAAUCUGAACAUUUCGAGG
This 1360-nucleotide ribosomal RNA is filed under the name uncultured marine eukaryote. RNAcentral's name for it is "SSU rRNA". It matches the Rfam family "Eukaryotic small subunit ribosomal RNA", at positions 411 to 1779 of the family's 1831-position model. The record is from RNAcentral.